Prionailurus viverrinus (fishing cat) is the source of this 356-nucleotide long non-coding RNA. RefSeq lists it as uncharacterized. The transcript is spliced from 3 exons. The record is from RefSeq and is a predicted model, not a curated record. Lineage: Eukaryota; Metazoa; Chordata; Mammalia; Carnivora; Felidae.
AACGAGUUACCAUGCAAGGAAUGAGAAUGGACUUAGCACUGGGAUUUUUACUGAGAAUAUGGCCUGCCUGAAGGAAAUAUACCUUCACAGUUCUCAGAAGAAUGGACUCAUUGUAAAUGAACGGGGAAUCAAAGCAGCAUCAGCACCACCAAGGGAGUGAGAGGUGAGAAGUGAAGAGAAUGGGUCCGAGAUGUCCUGACUUUCCUCCAGAAGGAGUCUGCUCAGAGGUCAACUCUUCAGAUGAUGAAGUCUAUAAGGAUUUUCUUCAGGAUGGUCUUGGUGUCCUUGGCAACUAUUUCAAGGAAGCAUCUGUGUUUCCACUCUCUUAAGUAGUUGAUAAUAGUGUCACUUAAGAG